This 6893-nucleotide long non-coding RNA is filed under the name Marmota monax (woodchuck). The record is from RNAcentral. Lineage: Eukaryota; Metazoa; Chordata; Mammalia; Rodentia; Sciuridae.
AGGGUGUUAAGCAUUCUUCCUCUAAAGCCUGAGUGAGCGCCUGCAGUUUCUCAAAAUCACCCCGGUCUAAUUUGGCUCCAGGUUGGGCUCUGCCAUUUCUCCUGUCUGGGGCUCCUUUCCUGGUGCCCCUUUGGUGCCCACCCUUCCCUAUCUCUUCCUCGACCCCUACAAGGGCUCCAGAGCUUUCUCUGACCUUAGCAAUUGUGUUGAGGUGUCACCUCCUGUAAGUACCCUGUGCUUAUCUUCUUUCUGUUUACUGCUGUGUCAUUGCCAUUGUAGUAAGAGCUCAUCAAGGACAGAAACUGUCUCACUGUAUUGUGUGCAGGAGUGGCAGUAAAAAUAUUUAAUGAGUGGUUGUAAAUACUAACGAGCCUGGUCAGCAGGUGGAAUAGGGUUCUGUUGUGUCGAGUAUAAGGAGAAAUCGGGAAAGACUUUUAAAUGGACCAAAAGAUUAGCAAAUGUCUUUAAUGGUACAAUGCAUGGUGUCACACACGUCCUUCUGAGCUAUGAUUCUAGGGAGCUUGGACCCUUUAUUAUCUUUAGCUCUCCUGUAACAAUGUAGAGAGAAAAGUUAACUUGUCCAGAACUAAUAACACUGUAAUUAAUUCUUGUCUACAGAUAGGCAAUGACUGUUUAGUGGAUAUUCAACUGACUUUCACCCCCUACUGUAGAGACAAUGGACCUUGGAUCUUUUAAAUUAAUGCCAAUAUUUGUCUGGUCUUUGAAUUUUCCUUUGACCGGUGGUAACACCUUUCUAGUUCUCUCAUUAAUUAGGGAGUUAAAUAAAAUUUCUGACACGUGUUUAGUUUAUGUCUAUAUGAAAGUCAUGAUUUCACAUUUUUUUCUUUAAAAAUUAUGCUUAAAUAGUUGUAGAGGUCUUGCACGGGAAUUAUUUAAAGGAGAGACAGAAAGAGAAAAGAAAAGAAGAACUCACAAAGAAAAAAAUCUUCCUCUCAUGAAAAACUAAGGAUCUUUUUAUUGUGUAACCUUUAUGUUUAAUUUAAAAUGCCUUGUCGUGGCUUUGAUUAAAUGAUCAAAGCAUUAAGUGAUCGAGUACUGUUUCUCAUGUGCCUGUAUAAAGUCUUAACUGUGUGUCCAAAUUUCCUGACAACUCUUUUGAUUAUUUUCUUCAAAAACUCAAAUUCUAAGUAUAUAUAUAUGCAAAUAUUUAUAUUUGCAUAUAAAUAUAUUUAUAUAUAUGUACUAAAUAUUUAUAAAUAUAUUUAUAUAUAUGUACUAAAUAUUAAAUAUGUGUUUACUAUUUAGUACAUAUAUAUGAGGCUAAAACUUUAAGGAUACCUUUUUUUUAAAAUAUUUUUUUAGUUGUAGUUGGACACAAUAUCUUUAUUUAUUUUUAUAUGGUGCUGAGGAUCGAACCCAGUGCCUCACAUGUGGGAGGCAGGCGCUCUACCCCUGAGCUACAGCCCCAGCCCCAAGGAAAUCUUUUAAUCUAAAACUGAGAUUAUCUAGAUCUCUGAAAAAUUACAAGGAUUAGUUCUUAUAAAAUGAUACUGAGGCCAGGCGUGGUGGCAUACACCUGUAAUCCCAGCAACUCCAGAGACUGGGGCAGGAAGAUGGAAAGUUUGAGUCCAGCCUUAGCAACUUAGCGAGGUCCUGAAUGACUUAGUGAGAUCCAGUCUCAAAAUUAAAAAUAAAAAAUAAAAAGGGCUGGGAAUGUGGAUCAGUGGUUAAGUAUCCUGGGUUAAAUCAACAGUACCAAAAAAAAAAAAAAGCUGAAAAUAAAGUUUGUUUAAUAAGUUGCCAAAUCAGAAAAAAGUGCUCAGAUUUCUCAGGCUUACACUGAAUACAUAAAAUAUGCUUAGAUGACUAUUUCAGAAAUUGCAUGCUUUCAUAGGAAAUUUUUAGAGAUUUAUCAGUGCUCUCAUUGUCCAUAAUAUCUUCCUAUGGAUCAGAAUACCUGGUAAUAUUAUGAUACUCUCAUAUUAUCAUGCAAUUUUGGCUAUUAUUUAAAGUGCUUACUGUUAUGGUUUAGAUAUUAGGUGUCCUCCAAAAGCUCAUGUGUCAGAGGUAAAAUGAUUAGGUUGUGAGAGCCUUAACCCAUUCAGUGAAUUAAUCCACUCUUAGGGAUUAACUGGAUGUAACUGUAGGCAGGUCUGGUAUGGCUAGGGGAGCUGGGCCUUUGGGGAUGUAUUCAUGGUGAGGAGAGUCUCCCUCUGCUUCCUGAAGUGAUGCCCUGAGCUGCAUCCUCUACCAUACUCUUCCUCCAUGAUGUUCUGCCUCACCUCAGGCACUGAGCAAUGGAGACAGCUAUAUAUAGACUGAGACCUCUGAAACCACCAGGGUCAAAGAAACUUUUCCUCCUUAAAAUUGUUCUUUUCCGGUUUUUGGUCACAGCAAUGAAAUACUGUCUGAACACUUCCUUAGAACAACAUUCUUUAAAGUGAACCUAGCAUCAUCUGACCAAUAGUUCUAAAUUGGAGAUGUGCAUUGGAUUUGCCCAUGGAGUUUUAUAAAAACACAGAUGUCCAGAAAGACUAAAUUUCUUUACUUGAUGUUUGUGGUAUAAUUUUGAUAUAUUAUUAUGUACCCAACAUCACAGAAUUGUUAUGUUUCAAGAUUUUUCCCUUUCUAAAAAUUAUAUUCAUGUGUUUAUAAAUGAGAUAUAACAUUCAAUUAUAUCCUUAGAAAUUUUUUGCUUAGGGACACCGGGAAUGUGACUCAGUGAUACCUUGCCUGGCAUGCAUGAGGCCCUGGUUCAAUUCCCAGUCUGCAAAAAAAAAAAAAAAAAAAAAGAAAAGAAAAAGAAAAAGAAAAAAAUUUUCCUUAAAAAUAUGUAUUUUUUUAAAAAUAGCCUUAUCUUGCCACCAAAACAAUCAAAUUUCUUGUCAGCUGCUUUAUUCUGAACUCUCAUCAGAUCCUUUACAUUUAAAAAUUAUCAGUAAUAGAUAAAAAUGCCUAUUUCAGAUUUCUGUCAUUUACAGAUAACUUUGUUUUAUUGAUUCUCACCUGAGAGAGCAGAGUUUGUAUCAACAAGGAACCAGGGCCAGGUCCUUGAAACUAUUGAUUGUUCUAAGAAUCCUCUCUUGGGAGCAGAUGGCAUUGCUUACCAAUGGUGACCUCUUGGGAACAGAUGGUUUUGCUUACCAAUGGGCUAGAUCAGAUUUUCCAGCUCUUUUUAGCCAAAAAGUCAGCAGCGUCCAAAGUCUGCUAACCAAUAACCUAGUGGAACAUAAUUUAAUUUCACUGGACUGAAUGACCUGUUGAGGAAAUUUUUAGUUUUGGAAUACUGUUAGUAGUCCUUUCUGUGUUUUUUUCUAGAUAUGUAAAUAAGCCCUCAUUUUUUAUUCUUAAGCUGUCUGCAACCAAUAGAAAUUUAAUAGGCAGAAAAUGGACCAAGACAGGAAUUUUGUGAGAACUGCAUGCAAAUAAAACUGAAACACAAGAACUAAUUAAAUAAAUUGUAUCUAAUAUAAAAAGCAAAACUAUAUUAUAACAGUUAUAAACUUUGAAGAUCACUUUUUAUGAGAAAAGUCCAGAUCAGCAUUCUAAUCCUGCAACUGGCUAUAUUACCUGAGCCAAUUAAUUGCUUUUUGCCUCACUUAUUUUUCCACCUAAAAGUGGAUCUAUUAAGAGUACCUUAUUUUUCAGUCUAUUUAGGAUUAAAUNACUGUCUAUAUGUCUGUAGAUAAGAAUUACUUCCAUUAUAUCAAUAUUGUACCCAUUAACUUCUAUAGAGCUAACUAUAUCUAGUUAUCUCUAUAGGAUUAUAAAAAAACUUAAAGAUAAUUAAAAUCACAAAUCCUAUAGAAUCAGAUUAUCCUAAAGUGUAUGCACCAAAAAAUGCACAAUUUACUCUUGAUGACAAAUGGCAAUCUCUUGGCCCAACUAAAAGUCUCUCACUUUUGUGUGUGUGUGUGUGUGUGUGUGUAAAUCUACCCACCCAUUCUCUUAGUCAAGAUAAUCCUAAAGAAAAAUUCUUUUAAGAGUGGUCUCAUUAGAUUAGGACUGAUCAUUUACAGAGAUGCAGCAAGAAGCCUUCUAAAACUUGCUUUGGAAUCUAGCGUUCUACAAUAUUGAUUGAACAAUCACAAAAUUAACCUCUUGAGAGGUUUGCAACAGAUAUUUCAACUUGGACUUUUAAAAGUUUAUGUAAUUUGCUGUUCCAAAGUUAGGAACCUAAGCCCCCCAAAGUCUGUCUUCACACAAUUUCAUCUAGUGCAUCUAAUCUAUAAAGACAGGCAAAUCCCUUCUUCUCAAGGUCUCUGGUCUGCCAGAGGCAUUCUUCCUCACCAUCCUUGAGGUUGGACCCUGUUAGGGAGACUCAGGGUCAGUCUUCCUGCAGGGCCUUUGUAGACAUUGACUUCAUAAGAGUGUCCAAAGUAAUGUCAGUUUUAUAUCCUUAAAAUGGUUGUCAUGCCUGAUUAAGCAAAAACCAUACUCGAAGAUGACAUUCAGGCAAGAACUUAGGUGCAUACCUAUUUUAUAAAAUUAUAUCUUUGUACAAAUGAGAACAGAUUUUUCUUGAGCCUAUGCAAAUACAGGUAACUUUAUUUGCCAUAGCAAUCAGUGGAGAGUGUCUGAUUUGGUGUGGGGUGAGAAGAGGGAAAAUGUUAGUGAGAAUCAGAUAUCUUUUCCCAAUUCCUUGUGUUUUUUUCCCCAAUAGAAUAAAUACCCUUAAUAAUAAAUAAAUAGAAUCCAUACCCUUCAGAAUUAUCUGACUCUGUAGGGUUUGUGAUUUUAAUUGUCUUUAAGUUUUUUAUAAUCCUGUAGGGAUAACUAGAUACAGUUAGCUCUAUAGAAGUUAAUGGGUACAAUAUUGAUAUAAUGGAAGUAAUUCUUAUCUACAGACAUAUAGACAGUUUUGUGCCAUAGAAGUUCAAAUUGACCCCCCUCCAUUGAGGAAGCCAGAUUUGCAUCCAUUAAACCAACAAGGUUUAAUGAGCAUACACUAUGUGUAUGGUCCUAUUGUAAGAAUUUACUCAUAUUUCUUAAUUUAAUCCUAAAUAGACUGAAAAAUAAGGUACUCUUAAUAGAUCCACUUUUAGGUGGAAAAAUAAGUGAGGCAAAAAGCAAUUAAUUGGCUCAGGUAAUAUAGCCAGUUGCAGAAUUAGGAUGCUGAUCUGGACUUUUCUAACUAUUCUACUAUGCUACUUCUGAAAAGUGAUCUUCAAAGUUUUUAACUGUUAUAAUAUAGUUUUGCUUUUUAUAUUAGAUACAACUUAUUUAAUUAGUCCUUGUGUUUCAAUUUUAUUUGCAUGCAGUUCUCACAAAAUUCCUGUCUUGGUCUAUUUUCAGUUGCUAUAACUGUAUACCUCAGACUGUAAUUUAUAAAGAAUAAAGGUUUAUUUGGCUCACUGUUUGAAGGCUCGGGAAGUCCAUGCUCUGGCAGUUGCAUCUGGCGAGGUUCUUCUGGCUGGUGGUGACUCUCUGCAGAGUUCCAGGGUGGUACACGGCAAGAAUGUUACAUAGCAAGAGGAAAUGAGUGUCCAAGCUCAAGUCUUUCCUCUCAUAAAGGAGCAGUCCCAUUGAAUUAGGGCCUUGCAGCCUCAUUUAACUUUAAUUAUCUCCCAAGGGUCCCACCUUCAAAUGCAAUAGUCAGAUUAAGUUUUCAUCUUCUUAAAACUGCAUGGUGAAGAUUAAAUCUCAAGAGUUCCAGUGUGGACAUUUGUGUUGGGAAGUUUUCCAUUACUGCGAUGAAAUACCUGUGUUAUAAACCUAAAAGGAGGAAAAAUAUUACUGUGGCUUAUGGUUUCAGAAGUGUCAGUCCAUGGUCAUCUCGCCUGGCCCUCUUCCUUCAGGCCAGCAAUUGCACAGUACCUCCUGGUGGGUAGGAGUGCAUGGCAGAGGAGGAUGGUUCACCUCCUGGUGGCCAGGAAGCAAAGAGAAACAGGAAGGGCCUGGGGUCCCAAUAUCCCCUUCAAGGACUUGCCCCCAGGUUCUAACUUCCUUCCAUUAGGCUCUACCUGCUAAUACUUCCACCACCUUCCAACAGUACCAUAAGCUGGUGACCAAGUCUUCAACACAAGGCUCUUCUUGGGACAUCUCUAAACCAUGGCAAUAUUCAAACUGUAGCAAGCCCCUAUAAUAAGGUGUUAUUCCCAUUCUGCAGACAAGAAAGGGGAAGUUAAAUAAUCAGGUCAUAACAUUUAAAUGUAUCACAACAAUGAAACAUUUGUUACAAGUGUUUUCUGUUGAAUAAAUCUGUGCUCUGUUCCUUGGUCCACACAUGCUUUCUGAUUUUAAUCUGUAUAAUUGCUUGAACUUGCUUUCAAUAGGCACAUGGUUCCAGGCCCUUGGCAUCACUACCUUUCACAAUUUGGAGAUCUUCCUGUGGUCCGUGGCAGAGAAGGCAUAAUCUCUUCUAAGAGGAGUAGGUGAAAAACCAGCCUCUACCUCAGAGCAAAGCCCGUCCAAGGAAGGGACAUGACCUUUGUCCUUGGAAAGACCCACAGAGCACUCCUAGGCACAUUCCCACCCUGCUAAGUUGUUUAUCUACAAAUAACAGGAGAGAUCUGCUGCNCCAGGUGUCCCUGACUCAGUCAGGCUAGGUGGGUAUCCAUAGCAACCCCCCAGUAGCCACCAAUCAGCAUGAGACAGGGAAAUACCUGGGAUGCCAGAUGACCCUCCCAGUAGUUUAUGGUGGUUAAUAACGUGUUGGGAAACCAUGUGGUUCAGCAUGAACACCCCUCUUGGCUUAAACCAAUCAGUUCAAAUAAAUCCCCCUCUUGUAGUAAGUAACCAAUCACCCCUACCCAACUUGUUCCCGCCAGUGAAUGUGCUAAUCAUGUUUUAGAGUUGUUAUUUGAUUUUCCCGCGGUGUGUGAUGAUGUGCUUAGAGAUGCUAUGAUGUAUGUGGGGGUCCCUGCCUUCUCCAAAGAAUGUAUAAAACUGCUGCAAACCCUGGGCUCGGGGCCUCUCAGCGUCGUCACCAG